This is a non-coding RNA of Melospiza melodia melodia, 459 nucleotides long. NCBI's taxonomy places the organism in Eukaryota, Metazoa, Chordata, Aves, Passeriformes, Passerellidae. The record is from the annotation of a RefSeq genome assembly.
CGGGCGGCCGUGACCCUGCUGGAGUGCGGGGGGGACCUCCAGCCCCCCGGGGGGUCCCUGCGCCUCCUCUGCCGAGGGGCCGGGUUCCAUUUUGGGCGUGUUGACAUGUUGUGGAUCCGCCAGAAACCUGGACAGGGGCUGGAAUACGUGGCAAGGAUCUACUACACUGGUGCUUACACCUACUACGCGCCGUCGGUCAAGGGCCGGUUCACGAUCUCCAGGGACAACAGGCAGAGCUCGGUGACGCUGACCAUGAACAGCCUCAAGGACGAGGAUUCCGCCACCUAUUUCUGUGCCAAAUGUUACAGCAGUGGUUGUGGUGGUGGUGCUGCUUAUGCUUAUGGUGUUGAUGUCCGUCCCUUCCCCUCCGUCCCAGAGCGGAACGGGGAUCGCUCCGGGGCCCUUUGCACACAAAGCUUUUUGUGCAGCCGGCGCUCUGCCGCAGCGCCCCGAGGCUGA